Capsicum annuum is the source of this 106-nucleotide non-coding RNA. The record is from Rfam. Lineage: Eukaryota; Viridiplantae; Streptophyta; Magnoliopsida; Solanales; Solanaceae.
UGAUGAUGAUGAGGACAAUUCCUGAGCAUACCCUGGAAUCUCUCCCAAGCUUUGUAAAGAUUUCUCUAUCUUUUUUCCUGAAACUCAGAUUCUCACUUCUCAAAUG